AACGAACGUUGGCGGCGUGGAUUAGGCAUGCAAGUCGCGGGAAUCCCAGCAAUGGGGGAACCGGCGUAAGGGGCAGUAAUGCGUGGGUACCUACCCUGGGGUCUGGGAUAGCCGUCCGAGAGGGCGGGUAAUACCGGAUGACCUCGGGAGAGCAAAGCUCCGGCGCCCUGGGAGGGGCCCACGUGGUAUUAGCUAGUUGGUGAGGUGAUGGCUCACCAAGGCGGAGAUGCCUAGCGGGUGUGAGAGCACGACCCGCGCCACUCGCACUGAGACACUGGCGAGACACCUACGGGUGGCUGCAGUCGAGGAUCUUCGGCAAUGCGCGCAAGCGCGACCGAGCGACGCCGCGUGGGCGACGAAGGCCUUCGGGUUGUAAAGCCCUGUCGAGGGGGAGAAAAGCCGCAAGGUUUGAUCUAUCCCUGGAGGAAGCUCGGGCUAAGUUCGUGCCAGCAGCCGCAGUAACAC
Molecule: ribosomal RNA, 465 nt
Filed under: uncultured bacterium
Lineage: Bacteria
Description: bacterial SSU rRNA
Rfam family: Bacterial small subunit ribosomal RNA
Source: RNAcentral